AGCACCAAGUUCAGUUUGACCAUAUGAACAUCCAUGCUCAUAUCAAUCUUAGAUCAAAACAUCCACUUAAGCAUGACUAAUUUCCGAAAGAGACAAAGUCAACAAAUGUUAUAUGCUCCAUCUUGAUAACAACAUCUUCAUAAAUUGAACAUUUUGCUGGAAUAGAAUAUUGAUCACUAAGAUUAAAUUGUACAGGAUACAGGUCAACAUAUCGAGUUUUUCACCAAAAAUACCAUUUAUGAUCGCCAAUCCUUAUCCUGGUACUCUUUUUUGUAUGUUUGAUAAAAUAAAAAAUAAAAAAAUCACUUGCUAUUUUAGUAAAAUCCAAUCACAACUAAAAGUAAUGUAGGUGUAGAGAAACCAGUCCAGCAGAAGCAAAAUGAAGAAAUGCUUGUAGAAGGGCAUGAAUAAUUGAAAUAAAUACUAUACAAAGAUGACUGCAUUGCCAUUAGCUGCAUAAAAGAAUUGAAAAUUCUCACCUUAGAUAAUAUGGAAAAUAUUCAAAUGAAACAUCAAUAUUUUUGGAAUGAACUACUCUCCACGAGAAUAUUUGCCAUGAAUAAUUGAAGUGUACUCUCCCUUGUUCUUUUCAGCACUAUUCCAAACCUGCAUAACAAAAUAAUAGGAUAAUAAAGUGUAGAUGGUCUGAAAGGGGUGUAAAGCCUGGAUAUGAUUACAUGAGACCUAUAAUUGGAUUUAGAACGUGUUGAAGUGGGAAAAUACGUCAGAUACCCAUUGGCAAGUUGUAUCAACUAUUUGCACAUUCCUGUCAUUCAAAACCAACAUUUCAUCCACAGCAGCUCCAAAAGCACGCAAAUCACAACAUAACCCUUAUUUACAGCAUCAAAAUUUUUCUUCCCAUACUCAACGUGAAGAUUUUUAACUUCCAUCUCAUUAAGCCGGUGGUAAGUAGAAAGUCAAAUUAUCUAAUCAGUACAAUAAGUUGAGGUUGUAUCUUCCCACAGAUGAUUAGGUAGUAGCACUUUAAACAUAUAGGUCUCUUAUUCUGCACUUACUUUCUUGUCUAAUGCAAAUUUGAAGAUUACAAAUUACCAGAUAAACCUGUAAACAAUAUGAAAGGGGCAGAAGGUCCUAACUGAACUCUCAAAAAUGUUUCUGAAAACAGUAUCCUCUAUAACCACAUGGCAGAUCCUCAGUCUAAUGUUCGUUGCAGGUUAUUGUACAAAACAAAUGUGUAUAAUUUGACUAAGAGGAGCAAUAAAAACAUGUAAAUAUCACCAUCAUAUUGAUAUUAUACACGUGUAUCUAGGAGCUCCAGCACAAUCCUCCUGAUUGCAUAACUUGUUAGAUCCAAAUAAUGAUGUCUAAACAUAGAAAUAUGCUUACAAUAUGCCAUAGACCUAGAACAGAGAAUUAACAAUAACCAAGAGCUGUGUGUGUAAACUUAAAGGACAACUCAAAAAUAAAGCUUCAACAGAUAAAUAUAAAACCUUGAAGCCAAUAAAAUUAGAAGACAUGUCUAGAUCAAAUCUAAAUGCUCCAAAUAGAAGUGAUUGAACAGUCUAUUAACCAAUAGGAUGAUAAAGGGAACAAAUGAACCAACAUAUUUAAUUCUUCCUGUGACUAUCAUCUUCUUUCCAAUAUUUUUGAAAUUUGAAUGGCAGAUUAAAUAAGAAGACCGCAGUAAUUUCAUUGGUGAUCGAAAUCUUCUCAGUUGGCAAUUACUUUCUUGCUUCAUGAGCAAUCUGGACCGCCCACUCAACCAACCCCCACAUGAGCCAUAUGCUUCUGUAAGCUUUAUUGUUACAUUUCCUCGAGCGUACUUGUACCCAUUGUCCUUCAAUUUUUUUUUAUAAUGUCAUCUGUAAUUUUACUUACUAUCAUCAAAUUCAAAAAACUAAAAGAAACAGUCUCCUACUCAAACAAAUCUAUGUAGAUAUGAAAUAUUAGAGUCAGAAAACAUAUGAAAUUAACUAACCAGAAUGCUCCUGCAUUUCUUUUAACAGUUUCAUCUUUUCAGGCAGAUUAUUCCCCCGUUUGGCCCCCAUUUUUUGAAGUAAAAAUGGGUGGAAUAGUGUUUUUUUUUUUUUUUUUUUUUUGAAAAAUGAGUGAUUGAAAAGAAGUAAAAAUUUUUGAUUUACGUGUAAUAUUAUUUUAUGGAAGAUGUGUGGUUGAAAAUAGGAGAGAUAAAAAUGAAAUGUAAUAAAAUUUAAUGUAAUGGGGGCCAAACGGGGACUAUAUGUUCCGCCAGCCAAGCCUCCAGGUUUCAACUUUUCUUUAAUGGAACCCAUGUAUCUAGGGCUUUUUCUUUUCUUACUUCAACCUUAAAAACACUUGCAAUUUUUCAUCAUAUACAACAUCUAAAAAUUUAAACGUAUAGAUAAGGUAGUCUAACACCAAUAGCAAUCAUCGACAUGAAUCAAAGGUCUAACAAAUGUGAAGCAUACACAACAGAUUUCACAUAUCUACAUUUAUAACCUUUCAACUUAUUAAAAACAGAUAUAAACUCGUACCAAUGAAGUAAAUCCUAGUUUACCAAUUCAAUGUUGGGCAGAACAGUAAAUGCAAUUGAGUGUUCAAGUUCAAGAAGGAACUGCACAGAUAUCGUUAUAGGAAUUUUUUGCUCUGGGAGAAGAAAGGAAAAAGAAACUAUCAUUUUUGCAAGAAAGCUUUUAUUUUAUCAAAUAGCAAAUAGACCACAUCCUAUACAAACAUCAUUUGUUGCUAAUUGAAUCUUUAUUCACUAUAAGAUUCAAUUGGAUCUUUACUCACUAUAAGACUAUACAUAUCGCAAACACGUUCUAAAAUAUUCUAGCUAAAUUUUUAGAGUAGAGUUCGCAUUUUCUUCCGAUUUGAUCACUUAUAUUCUAAAGAAAUGCUAAUGUGAAAAUCUACAUUCUUUAAAAAAAAUUAACUAAUUUAUCCACAUACAGUCCUAUAGUAGCCACUAGCCACCAGUUCCAUCUUCAUCUUCUCGGUUAGUGUUGGGAUUGUUUAAGUGCUGACUUUAGAGCACCAAUCUUAUAUUCCUCAAAACCUUUUGCCUUGAAGCCUCAGCCAAACAUCCCAUAUUUUCAAUUAUCCCAUAAUUGCGCAAGAUUUAUAGAAAUCCAUUCUCAAAAAACAAGGAAAAGGAGUUUAGGGAAAAAAUGAAAAAUGAAAAUUCUAGCAGCUUUCAAAGAUGGAGAUAAAGUUAGUUUAUGAUGGUGAAAACAAAGAGCACGCACGCUGAAGCACCAAUUUGCUGGUUUGAAAGGAGAACCCCUAAUCGAGCACUCAUUUAUUAUGUCAUAUAAUAAAUCAAUUUAACCAGUUUUGAGAAACUUCAUAACAGUUGGCUUCUCAUUUUUAAGGAUCAGACGACUGUCAUUAUCUAUUUACAGCCAUUGCUGAAUAUUCAUCUCAAGUUAACAUUAAAACAAUUCAGUAGAACCUUCCUUAAAAGAACUCAACUAUACUGCAGAACGCUCAUCACGACAAUCUGCAGGUUUAGAUUAGUUUAAGACUUGCUAUGAAGUCAUCCCAGCAUCGUUAUAUAAUAUUUUCCAUAACAAGAAUAAAAGUUGUAUAAAUCAUAGCAAACGAUUCUAUUUUUACUAACCAAACAGGCUGUGAAACAAAUUACUAGCUGCCAAGGAAAUGAAAAAUAGACAACCUUCUUGCAUACAUAGGACACUCCAAUCCAGAAAUAAUUAAAGGAUUUAUAGUCAUAUGAUUAUUUUCAUUUUCAAAACAAAUUGCAUCAAAUUCUUCUCAUUUUCAAAACAAUUAAUCUCAUGCAACAGUGCUUAAAAGAGGACAUUGCCAGUCACCUUGCCCUUCUUUCUCCAGACCAAUUGAAUAUGAUCUGUACUCAAAAUCAAAUGAAAGCACAAGAAAUUAUUAUAGUUCAGAAAACUAGCAAUUGCUCCAGCAUUUUCAAAAUGCAAACUCAGUGUUUUAAUCCAUCAUUCCACCUCAUCUACAGCCAGUCAACUUUAUUAUUAUAAACAGGACAAUUACCGGCAAACCACGAGCAUUCACCCGUACACAAUAAACAGUCCAGAUAUAGUCCUAAACGACAUUUCACUUAUAAUCUGAUUUAAUCCCUAACCACAAAAAUUGAAUAACGAUGGAUUCUAAUUUCUAAUCAUCCCUAAUCAGUAUGACCGAAUUAACCUAAUUAAUAUUUACAACGCAUACCUACAUUAAUUGAAAAAUAAUAAUUUUAAAAUCUAACAAAUCAAAUAUUUAACAAACCUUAUGGAACAAAAUCUUAUCAUCAGAACUGAAAUCCAUAGUAAGUCAAACAUCAAAUUGAGGGUUUGGGAGAAUAGAUAAAGAAUGGACCUUUUUGGAAUGGUGCAGGCACUAAAAAGUCUUCACGGAGCAGACACACAGUCAUUGGGCUCCCGGCAACGGGACAUGCACUCACUGAAAUCCAUCAAGAAAUCGCAGCACAUCCCUGUCUUCCCCAUUUUGCCCCAUCCCGAUGUCAUUUUACGUCGGAGAUCUCUCGACAUUGAAUUUUUAGACAUUACAACAAAAGUUAGGCGAAGAGGAGAAGGAAGAAUACCAAAAGUUAAG
Molecule: long non-coding RNA, 4527 nt
Filed under: Olea europaea subsp. europaea
Lineage: Eukaryota; Viridiplantae; Streptophyta; Magnoliopsida; Lamiales; Oleaceae
Source: RNAcentral